GGAAUCUUGGACAAUGGGGGCAACCCUGAUCCAGCGACGCCGCGUGGGUGAUGAAGGCCUUCGGGUCGUAAAGCCCUUUUGCCGGGGAAGAUGAUGACGGUACCCGGAGAAGAAGCACCGGCUAACUCUGUGCGAGCAGCCGCGGUAAGACAGAGGGUGCUAGCGUUGUUCGGAAUUACUGGGCGUAAAGGGCGCGUAGGCGGCUCGUUUAGUCGGGUGUGAAAUCCCGGGGCUCAACCCCGGAACUGCAUUCGAUACUGGCGGGCUUGAGACCGAGAGAGGUGGGUGGAAUACCCAGUGUAGAGGUGAAAUUCGUAGAUAUUGGGUGGAACACCGGUGGCGAAGGCGGCUCACUGGCUCGGAUCUGACGCUGAGGCGCGAAAGCGUGGGGAGCAAAC
This 398-nucleotide ribosomal RNA is filed under the name uncultured bacterium. RNAcentral describes it as "bacterial SSU rRNA". It matches the Rfam family "Bacterial small subunit ribosomal RNA", at positions 358 to 773 of the family's 1533-position model. The record is from RNAcentral.